CAGAUGCGAGCCGAAUUCAUGCUUGUUUGGACCUAGUCCAAUCGGCGGCCAUUGUUGGAAGCGUGCAUGCCACGGAAAAGCUCGGGCAACAUGAUGGAGACGAUUUUCAGUCCCGUAGAACUUGGUCUCCUCGUUAAUGGUUAAAAUCCAAAUUGUUCAUUUGGAUUUUAACCUAGGGGAGGGAUCUCCGGGGUAUAUUGGACUGAAAUCGUUUUCAUCAUUUCACGGAAGGAAAUCGGGUAACUUGAGCCGUAUCGGGAGAGAAACGGAGUAAAAUUUGCAAAUUUUGAGAGAAUUUUAUUUUUUGAAUAAUAUUCGGCUCGCCAUAGAAAUUGUAUUAAUUUCGAGUUUUUUAUAAUAUAAAUUUUUUUAUUCUAAAUAAUUUUCAGUAUAUU
Leptopilina heterotoma is the source of this 395-nucleotide long non-coding RNA. RefSeq lists it as uncharacterized. The record is from RefSeq and is a predicted model, not a curated record. The transcript is spliced from 3 exons. Lineage: Eukaryota; Metazoa; Arthropoda; Insecta; Hymenoptera; Figitidae.